This is a long non-coding RNA of Cyprinus carpio (common carp), 1384 nucleotides long. NCBI's taxonomy places the organism in Eukaryota, Metazoa, Chordata, Actinopteri, Cypriniformes, Cyprinidae. The record is from Ensembl.
GUGAUUUUCAAAUGAUAAACUCAAGUUUUUAAUGCAGAGAGCCCUUAAAGCUUCACUUUUAUUGACAAAAGCUGGUUUGUGCUUCUCAUUACAAGUUUGGGAAGAUGGCUGGUGCAUGUUGUGCUCCCUAAUGCACAGUAUAAGUGACCCAAAGUAAUGUGUAAACCGAUACGCUCAGAGAUGCUGAAAACACUGGAUCAUGAGCUGCUUGUGUGUAAAAGAAUACAGUGAUGUGCUUCACUCUGAAACACACAGCACAUAAAUUUAACUAAAUCACAGCCUUUGAAAUUUGAUAAUCUAUUUUAUUUUGAUGAAUCGUGCAGCCAUAGUACUAGUCCAACUCCUGGGACUGCUGCAUCAGAAACAAGGCCUAACCAUGGUUUCCCUGAUAUAGCUAAAAGUUGCAACCGGCUCCAAACUGAAGUAUAUACAAACUGAAAGUGCAGCAGUCUUGGCGAGAGCUUCCUGUCAUCAGUAUUCCUCCUGUGGGGCUUCCUAGCCGCAGUUCCAUGGUUAUGCUGCAGUUAAGCACUCUCUCGCGCUGUCUGUCGCUCUCUCAUUCUCCCUCUCUUUGUGACUGUCGGUUUAGGGGGUGGGAGAGAAGGAAGUGACCUACAUAGCACCGUUCCCUCGCCUCGGCUGUCUUUUGCAUUUCAAGGGAUAAUGAAUAAUUUACAGCUCCUCUCCCUCCCGUGAAAACGUGACAGCCUUCAAUACAAUUAACGUAUUUAACAAGCCCCGGUGACAAUCAGUGCACUGCCACUCAAAGGACCCGGAUAGAGGCUUGGAUCCAAGAGCCCGAGGCACAUCACUGGAAAAAGAGAGAGAGAGAGAGAAAAAAUAACAGUGCCACAGCAGAGCGCAGUGUUAUCCAACGCGAGCUCUGCUUUGCUGCAGGCGGCUCCAUCCCAAACCUCAGCCCUAUCUUGAACAAACAUCACACAGCCGAGAUGAAAAAGAGGGAAAUCGAUGCAGGGGAGAGCGCGCCGUGUAGAGAGCCUGGCUUUGCUUUGAUCGAAGGUUGACUGACAAGACCUUCAGCCCUGUGAUCUCCGGCAUGAUGAAGGACCGGAGCCAUGGUGGUGCAACAACGUGUGUUUGUUGUAUUUUGUGUGGUGUAGGUUUUGUGUAUUUGUGUAUAUGUUUUUUUAAAAAAAAAUUACUUGAAAACCUAGCAAGCCGCCUACGGAGGCGGUAUUUUAAAACUUCAUAGGCACUCUCCUGACACAAAAUCUUUUUCAAAAGGUCAUCGUAAUUAUGCUGCUGCCUAAGUUACCAUCUUUAGGUCAAAUUUUCAAGUGGAAUCACUAUGCUAAGACAGAAAAUUAUAUUUAUAACAAAUAAUAUAAAUAAAUAAAAACAGCAUUGUUAUUGUUAAAGGAGU